RNAcentral lists this ribosomal RNA (443 nucleotides) under uncultured bacterium. Its description in RNAcentral is "partial 16S ribosomal RNA". It matches the Rfam family "Bacterial small subunit ribosomal RNA", at positions 338 to 795 of the family's 1533-position model. The record is from RNAcentral.
CCUACGGGAGGCAGCAGUGGGGAAUAUUGGGCAAUGGGCGCAAGCCUGACCCAGCAACGCCGCGUGAAGGAAGAAGGCUUUCGGGUUGUAAACUUCUUUUCUCAGGGACGAAGCAAGUCACGGUACCUGUGGAAUAAGCCACGGCUAACCACGUGCCAGCAGCCGCGGUAAUCCGUAGGGGGCAAGCGUUAUCCGGAUUUACGGGGUGUAAAGGGCGUGUAGGCGGGAAAGCAAGUCAGAUGUGAAAGCGCUGGGCUCAACCUGUGGCCUGCAUUUGAAACUGUGUGUCUGGAGUACUGGAGAGGCAGGCGGAAUGCCUGGUGUAGCGGUGAAAUGCGUAGAUAUUAGGAGGAACACCAGUGGCGAAGGCGGUCUGCUGGACAGCAACUGACGCUGAGGCGCGAAAGCGUGGGGAGCAAACAGGAUUAGAUACCCCGGUAGUC